This is a long non-coding RNA of Hypanus sabinus (Atlantic stingray), 295 nucleotides long. RefSeq lists it as uncharacterized. The record is from RefSeq and is a predicted model, not a curated record. The transcript has 3 exons. Lineage: Eukaryota; Metazoa; Chordata; Chondrichthyes; Myliobatiformes; Dasyatidae.
UUUGUCAGGCAUUGUACUGCUGCUGCAAAGUGAACAAAUUUCAUGACAUAUGCCAGUGAUAUUAACGCUGAUUCUCAUUAUACUUCAGAACCAUAGUACUGAAUUCUACUAGUUGGACCUAGAUGUCUCAAAACAUUUUACAAUGCCUUGGAAGUGUUGUAACGUCGGAAAUUUGACAGGGAGCUUGUUCAGAGGCAGAUCCUUAAAGAAAUGCAAGAAUGACCAGCAGUUCUAAAUGAUCUCCAAGCCUUGCCACUAGAUACUUCUGGAAAAGCAUCCCUGUCAAAGAGUGGAG